UAAUUUGUCAUUCCAGCCUUUAUUUUUGUAAAACUGUUGAACGUUUUAUUGCAUUUUUUUUUUUAUCAAUUUCUCAGUUGGUUGUGGGAAAUAAAAACACAAAUCAGGUUUUCUAUGAUAUAAAGAUUUUAGAUAUCUGGAUGGGAAAGUUUGUCACUUAUGGAGGAGGAAAUGAAGUUUUUAUUCUGGUUUUAGGCUCAGGACAGAAAUCCAGACUUGAUGUUCAUUUAUUUCAGUCUUUAUCAGGAAAAUAAUGCAUUAAAAUUUCAUCAGAAGCCUGAAACACCCCAGGAUUCUGUGUAUUGUAUUGUGGGCUUUAUGGCCCUUAUUGUUGUUCCAUCAGGUCUCCCUAGCAAGAAAGCAACACCAGAAGGAGGUGGAGAACAUCGCUCAGCUGGAGCAGGAGAAGUUUAACCUGACAGAGCAGGUGGAGCAUCUAAGAGACACGGUGAAGGGCAUGGGAUACGUAAUCCUUGACCUGAACAUGGAGUUUGCUAAUCUAAUGAAAGCACAUGAGCGAGAGCAGGACGCUCCCAGGAUCCUCCAAGUGAAGAACGACAAGCUGAAGAAGACCCUGAAUCAUGAGGAGGAGAUACUGAAGGUCUCCUUGGCUGAAGCUGAGGAGCAACACCAGAGGGAUGAGGAGACCAUUGAUUAAAAUUCUAUUUUCAAGUUGCAAGAUUCAAUCUGCAGCUCAUUGCAGAUGUGAAGGUUAAGCUCUUGAGUGUGAACCUCUUUUUCUCCAGGAUUGUGUACGAGACUGGGAGGACCAACUGAAGGUAAAUUUUCUUCUCAAGAAGCUAGGACUGCUUUUGUGAACUGAUAAAUAACUUGCAGGAAGACAAUCAGAAAUCCAUCAGCUUAGAUCCUCCGUAAGGGAGUCAGUUUUUAAAUGAGUCUGAAUGUGUGUGUAGAAGUAAAUGAAUUCAUUGAGCCUUAAUUGUUGUCUUUUGAGGUCUCUGUGGCUAAAGGUGAGAAGAAACACCGUAAGGCUAGGAAGACUAUCAGCAACUGUAUAGGAUAUUUUUAAAAGUUUCUUGUCAGUAGCUGUGAUUUCCCUCAUCUCAUUUUGGGAGUGUGUCAACUCAAAAAAUGCCCUGGGCUUGUCACGGUAUUGGGGAUGAGUUGUCUUAUUAGUUUGGACGGCCUCAUGCAUUCGUUAGCUAGGACUUUGGCGCAGAUAAUGCACUGUGGCUGGGGCAGGGAGAAAAUGAAAUAAAACCAUAG
Long non-coding RNA from Hemibagrus wyckioides, 1227 nucleotides. RefSeq lists it as uncharacterized. The transcript has 3 exons. The record is from RefSeq and is a predicted model, not a curated record. NCBI's taxonomy places the organism in Eukaryota, Metazoa, Chordata, Actinopteri, Siluriformes, Bagridae.